UAAAGGUCAUCGCGGUGCAACUGGAUGUGUUUUCCUGCUAAUGCUGUUGUACCUUGAUUGUGUUUGUCUGAGCUCGACUACGACGCGGUCCACACCUCGGCUUCAUGAUUGGGGUGAUACCCAAAUACGGGAGACGCUGCGACGUAUCAGAAGGAAGCAAAAUUUCCCAACAAUUGCGGUGGAGUUUGAUUACAGUAACGCCGAU
This is a non-coding RNA of Camellia sinensis, 205 nucleotides long. The record is from RefSeq and is a predicted model, not a curated record. NCBI's taxonomy places the organism in Eukaryota, Viridiplantae, Streptophyta, Magnoliopsida, Ericales, Theaceae.